Molecule: ribosomal RNA, 592 nt
Filed under: Fidelibacterota bacterium
Lineage: Bacteria; Pseudomonadati; Fidelibacterota
Description: bacterial SSU rRNA
Rfam family: Bacterial small subunit ribosomal RNA
Source: RNAcentral
UAACGAUGAAGAGUUUGAUCCUGGCUCAGGAUGAACGCUAGCGGCAGGCCUAAUACAUGCAAGUCGAGGGGUAACAGGAAGUGCUUGCACUUCGCUGACGACCGGCGCACGGGUGAGUAACGCGUAUACAAUCUGCCUCAUACUAGAGGAUAGCCCGAAGAAAUUUGGAUUAAGACUCUAUAGUAUCAUUUAAAGACAUCUUUUUAUGAUUAAAGGUUACGGUAUGAGAUGAGUAUGCGUUCUAUUAGUUUGUAGGUGAGGUAACGGCUCACCUAGACUGCGAUAGAUAGGGGCCCUGAGAGGGGGACCCCCCACACUGGUACUGAGACACGGACCAGACUCCUACGGGAGGCAGCAGUAAGGAAUAUUGGUCAAUGGACGAAAGUCUGAACCAGCCAUGCCGCGUGCAGGAUGAAUGCCCUAUGGGUUGUAAACUGCUUUUAUAUAGGAAGAAAAACUUUCUCGUGAGAAAGCUUGACGGUACUAUAAGAAUAAGGAUCGGCUAACUCCGUGCCAGCAGCCGCGGUAAUACGGCGGAUCCAAGCGUUAUACGGAAUCAUUGGGUUUAAAGGGUCCGUAGGUGGACAAAUAA